RNAcentral lists this ribosomal RNA (489 nucleotides) under uncultured bacterium. Its description in RNAcentral is "partial 16S ribosomal RNA". It matches the Rfam family "Bacterial small subunit ribosomal RNA", at positions 30 to 506 of the family's 1533-position model. The record is from RNAcentral.
AUUGAACGCUGGCGGCAUGCCUUACACAUGCAAGUCGAACGGCAGCAUGAUCUAGCUUGCUAGAUUGAUGGCGAGUGGCGAACGGGUGAGUAAUACAUCGGAACGUGCCCUGUAGUGGGGGAUAACUAGUCGAAAGAUUAGCUAAUACCGCAGACGACCUGAGGGUGAAAGUGGGGGACCGCAAGGCCUCAUGCUAUAGUAGCGGCCGAUGUCUGAUUAGCGAGUUGGUGGGGUAAAGGCUCACCAAGUCGACGAUCAGUAGCUGGUCUGAGAGGACGAUCAGCCACACUGGGACUGAGACACGGCCCAGACUCCUACGGGAGGCAGCAGUGGGGAAUUUUGGACAAUGGGCGAAAGCCUGAUCCAGCAAUGCAGCGUGUGUGAAGAAGGCCUUCGGGUUGUAAAGCACUUUUGUCCGGAAAGAAAUGGCUCUGGUUAAUACCUGGGGUCGAUGACGGUACCGGAAGAAUAAGGACCGGCUAACUACGU